Molecule: ribosomal RNA, 490 nt
Filed under: uncultured bacterium
Lineage: Bacteria
Description: partial 16S ribosomal RNA
Rfam family: Bacterial small subunit ribosomal RNA
Source: RNAcentral
AUUGAACGCUGGCGGCAGGCCUAACACAUGCAAGUCGAAUGGUAACAGGAAACAGCUUGCUGUUUCGCUGACGAGUGGCGGACGGGUGAGUAAUGUCUGGGAAACUGCCUGAUGGAGGGGGAUAACUACUGGAAACGGUAGCUAAUACCUCAUAACGUCGCAAGCCCAAAGAGGGGGACCUUCGGGCCUCUGGCCAUCAGAUGUGCCCAGCUGGGCUUAGCUGGUAGGUGGGGUAACGGUUCACCUAGGCGACGAUCCCUAGCUGGUCUGAGAGGAUGACAAGCCACACUGGAACUGAGACACGGUCCAUACUCCUACGGGAGGCAGCAGUGGGGAAUAUUGCACAAUGGGCGCAAGCCUGAUGCAGCCAUGCCGCGUGUAUGAAGAAGGCCUUCGGGUUGUAAAGUACUUUCAGCGGAGAGGAAGGGAGUAAAGUUAAGACCUUGGCUCAUUGACGUUACCCGCAGAAGAAGCACCGGCUAACUCCGUG